UACGUAGGGGGCGAGCGUUGUCCGGAAUUAUUGGGCGUAAAGAGCGUGUAGGCUGUUCGGUAAGUCUGCCGUGAAAACCUGAGGCUCAACCUCGGCGUGCGGUGGAUACUGCCGGCUAGAGGACGGUAGAGGCGAGUGGAAUUCCGGUGUAGCGGUGAAUGCGCAGAUAUCGGAGGAACACCAGUAGCGAAGGCGCUCGCUGGCCGUCCUGACGCUGAGACGCGAAGCUAGGGAGCGACAG
This 241-nucleotide ribosomal RNA is filed under the name uncultured bacterium. RNAcentral's name for it is "partial 16S ribosomal RNA". It matches the Rfam family "Bacterial small subunit ribosomal RNA", at positions 524 to 774 of the family's 1533-position model. The record is from RNAcentral.